RNAcentral lists this ribosomal RNA (450 nucleotides) under uncultured bacterium. RNAcentral describes it as "bacterial SSU rRNA". It matches the Rfam family "Bacterial small subunit ribosomal RNA", at positions 29 to 473 of the family's 1533-position model. The record is from RNAcentral.
AACGAACGCUGGCGGCGCGCCUAAUACAUGCAAGUCGAGCGAGAAGGUGUAGCAAUACACUUGUAAAGCGGCGAACGGGUGAGGAAUGCAUGGGUAACCUACCCUCGAGUGGGGAAUAACUAGCCGAAAGGUUAGCUAAUACCGCAUACGUUUCCGGAACUUCGGUUUCGGAAAGAAAGCAAUACCGUGGGUAUUGCGCUCAUGGAUGGGCUCAUGUCCUAUCAGCUUGUUGGGUGAGGUAACGGCUCACCAAGGCUUCGACGGGUAGCUGGUCUGAGAGGACGAUCAGCCACACUGGCACUGCGACACGGGCCAGACUCCUACGGAGGCAGCAGUAAGGAAUAUUGCGCAAUGGACGAAAGUCUGACGCAGCGACGCCGCGUGGGGGAUGAAGGUCUUCGGAUUGUAAACCCCUUUCGGGAGGGAGAUGGAGUGGGUAACCACUUGGAC